This 69-nucleotide transfer RNA is filed under the name Ictidomys tridecemlineatus (thirteen-lined ground squirrel). RNAcentral describes it as "Spermophilus tridecemlineatus (thirteen-lined ground squirrel) tRNA". It matches the Rfam family "tRNA". From Rfam's summary of the family: Transfer RNA (tRNA) molecules are approximately 80 nucleotides in length. Their secondary structure includes four short double-helical elements and three loops (D, anti-codon, and T loops). Lineage: Eukaryota; Metazoa; Chordata; Mammalia; Rodentia; Sciuridae. The record is from Rfam by way of RNAcentral.
GGGGUUAUGGCUCAGUGGUACAGCGCUCGCCUUGCAUGUGUGCGGCCCUGAGUUCAAUCCUCAGCACCA